Molecule: ribosomal RNA, 404 nt
Filed under: uncultured bacterium
Lineage: Bacteria
Description: bacterial SSU rRNA
Rfam family: Bacterial small subunit ribosomal RNA
Source: RNAcentral
UGGGGAAUAUUGCGCAAUGGGGGAGACCCUGACGCAGCAACGCCGCGUGAAGGAUGAAGGCCUUCGGGUUGUAAACUUUUUUGAUCGGGGACGAAUAAAUGACGGUACCCGAAAAACAAGUCACGGCUAACUACGUGCCAGCAGCCGCGGUAAUACGAAGGGGGCAAGCGUUGUUCGGAAUUACUGGGCGUAAAGCGCACGCAGGCGGCGUGACGCGUCAGAAGUGAAAUCCCCGGGCUCAACCUGGGAACUGCUUUUGAAACGGUCAUGCUUGAAUCAUGGAGAGGGUAGCGGAAUUCCGAGUGUAGAGGUGAAAUUCGUAGAUAUUCGGAAGAACACCGGUGGCGAAGGCGGCUACCUGGCCAUGUAUUGACGCUCAGGUGCGAAAGCGUGGGGGGCAAACA